RNAcentral lists this long non-coding RNA (1057 nucleotides) under Sus scrofa (pig). RNAcentral describes it as "lncRNA (ENSSSCG00015003102.1)". The record is from RNAcentral. Lineage: Eukaryota; Metazoa; Chordata; Mammalia; Artiodactyla; Suidae.
UGUCAUCAGCAAAUUACCCCUAAGAAUAUUAUAAAUGGACUUUACAAAUUAGAAACCAUGUCCUUAAAUUACUUCCUUCCUCCCUCGGUUCUCUCAUUUCAAAAACUUGCACAUCUACUAUCCAUCAACUUAGCUCCGUCAGACAACAUUUAAUCAGGCCUUUCCCAUCCAGAGUGGUGGACAACCAAACUCUUUAGUAGGAUUUGAAGUUUUGUUCACUAGGAUUACCCGAUGACUGCAACUCUAACAAUUAUUUAAAGACAAGUAAAAUCUGAUCAUCCUACCAUCCGAAGAUUAUUAUACGGUUAGAAUUACUGAUAUUUUGAAUCCUGGUGUUUCUUGAUGAUUUCAUACGAGAAUGCUGCCUUGAAAAACUGUUGCCUCUUGAGAAGAUUCAGGACUCCUGUAGUAGAGAACAAGGAGGAUGAAGAUAAAUCCUAGAAGGAGAGAUUUCCAGUCUGGCUUGUUUGACAUACAACGUCGGCAUCUUGUACAUGAACAGAUACAGUAUUUAUAUUGUCCUAGAAGUGUGAAGAUAAGCAGAUUUCAGCUUUUAACAUGAACACAUUUGUUGAGAGAGGAUAAUAGAUAUUCUACAGCUAGACAUCAAGAUUUCUGCAGAGACAUUUAAAUCCGGCUUACGGAGAAAGGUAAAGUAAAGAGGUAAAUUCCAACCAAGAAACGUUGUACUUGUAUGUUCCUCUGCUGUUGGACGAGUAUAAGUCGGUAUCACCGAGUGGAAAGUGACUCGGCGGCAUGCGGUGAAAAUAAUGAUGAUCACUCUGAUCUGGUGAACAUUCUGAUUAAAUAAUCUAAAGAAAGAAGAGUUACCAGCACGAAGGUACUGAUUACAGCCUCACUUGGGCUUAAAGGAGAAUCAACUGAGCUUAUAAAGUUAGGGUGAUUCAUAGGUCAGGCAAUGUCAUUAAUUUACCUCAUGAGUUUUUUUUUUGUGAUCUCAAACAUCAUAGUAACUAAAAUUUUAGUGACAUGGUAAUGCAAUAAUAAUUUAAGUGAAAAUCAGAAUAAAACCUACCCAUAAACUAUGAAAGAGGCA